This 252-nucleotide ribosomal RNA is filed under the name Triticum aestivum (bread wheat). Its description in RNAcentral is "partial small subunit ribosomal RNA". The record is from RNAcentral. Lineage: Eukaryota; Viridiplantae; Streptophyta; Magnoliopsida; Poales; Poaceae.
AUGCCGAUCUUCUGGUUGGGGUUGUGCUCGUUGACGGCGAACUUGACGGGCAGGUUGGCGGCGCCGGACUGGCGGUUGACGUUGGGGAUGCUGAAGUCGGUGAGCGUGAACUUGGGGCGGUGCGGGCGGAGGCUGAGCCAGAGCACGAAGAGGAUGAUGCCGGCGAUGAGGACGAGCGUGAGCAGCACCGCGCAGAGGAAGUUGAGGCACCGGAUCGCCGGGCUCUGCCGGUGGUACGACGGCAGGCGGUAG